This 647-nucleotide ribosomal RNA is filed under the name uncultured bacterium. RNAcentral's name for it is "bacterial SSU rRNA". It matches the Rfam family "Bacterial small subunit ribosomal RNA", at positions 110 to 753 of the family's 1533-position model. The record is from RNAcentral.
GUAGUGCGUAGGAAGCUGCCCGAUAGAGGGGGAUACCAGUUGGAAACGACUGUUAAUACCGCAUAAUGUCUACGGACCAAAGUGUGGGACCUUCGGGCCACAUGCUAUCGGAUGCGCCUACGUGGGAUUAGCUAGUUGGUGAGGUAAUGGCUCACCAAGGCGACGAUCUCUAGCUGGUUUGAGAGGAUGAUCAGCCACACUGGAACUGAGACACGGUCCAGACUCCUACGGGAGGCAGCAGUGGGGAAUAUUGGACAAUGGGCGCAAGCCUGAUCCAGCCAUGCCGCGUGUGUGAAGAAGGCCUUCGGGUUGUAAAGCACUUUCAGCGAGGAGGAAGGGGUAGUAGUUAAUAGCUGCUACUUUUGACGUUACUCGCAGAAGAAGCACCGGCUAACUCUGUGCCAGCAGCCGCGGUAAUACAGAGGGUGCAAGCGUUAAUCGGAAUUACUGGGCGUAAAGCGCACGUAGGCGGUUAGUUAAGUUGGAUGUGAAAGCCCCGGGCUCAACCUGGGAAUUGCAUUCAAAACUGGCUAACUAGAAUACGGGAGAGGGGGGUAGAAUUCCAAGUGUAGCGGUGAAAUGCGUAGAGAUUUGGAGGAAUACCAGUGGCGAAGGCGGCCCCCUGGCCCGAUAUUGACGCUGAGGUG